Non-coding RNA from Beta vulgaris subsp. vulgaris (sugar beet), 107 nucleotides. The record is from Rfam. NCBI's taxonomy places the organism in Eukaryota, Viridiplantae, Streptophyta, Magnoliopsida, Caryophyllales, Amaranthaceae.
AACUCAUAGUGAGGGCACGAACGGGCCAUCUCUUUGAACCGCUCCCAAGCUUCCCCAAGUGUCUCAUCAUUCUCUUGUUCAAAUGAGGAGAUCUUUCUCCUUAUGUC